UGUCCCGUGGUGUAAUGGUAGCACAACAGAUUUUGGUUCUGUUUGCCCAGGUUCGAGUCCUGGCGGGACAA
RNAcentral lists this transfer RNA (71 nucleotides) under Bacteroidales bacterium. RNAcentral describes it as "tRNA-Gln". It matches the Rfam family "tRNA". Rfam says of the family: Transfer RNA (tRNA) molecules are approximately 80 nucleotides in length. Their secondary structure includes four short double-helical elements and three loops (D, anti-codon, and T loops). Further hydrogen bonds mediate the characteristic L-shaped molecular structure. tRNAs have two regions of fundamental functional importance: the anti-codon, which is responsible for specific mRNA codon recognition, and the 3' end, to which the tRNAs corresponding amino acid is attached (by aminoacyl-tRNA synthetases). tRNAs cope with the degeneracy of the genetic code in two manners: having more than one tRNA (with a specific anti-codon) for a particular amino acid; and 'wobble' base-pairing, i.e. permitting non-standard base-pairing at the 3rd anti-codon position. Lineage: Bacteria; Pseudomonadati; Bacteroidota; Bacteroidia; Bacteroidales. The record is from RNAcentral.